CAGCAGCCGCGGUAAUACCGGCGGCCCGAGUGGCGGUCACUAUUAUUGGGCUUAAAGCGUCCGUAGCCGGGUUGGGAAGUCCUCCGGGAAAUCUGGCCGCUUAACGGUCAGAAUGCCGGAGGAUACUCCCAGCCUAGGGGGCGGGAGAGGCCGAGGGGAUUCCCGGAGUAGGGGUGAAAUCCUAUAAUCCCGGGAGGACCACCUGUGGCGAAGGCGCUCGGCUGGAACGCGUCCGACGGUGAGGGACGAAGGCCAGGGGAGCAAACCGGAUUAGAUACCCGGGUAGUCCUGGCUGUAAACGAUGCGGACUUUGUGUCGGACAAGCUAUGAGCUUGUCCGGUGCCGGAGGGAAACCGUUAAGUCCGCCGCCUGGGGAGUACGGCCGCAAGGCUGAAACUUAAAGGAAUUGGCGGG
Molecule: ribosomal RNA, 414 nt
Filed under: uncultured microorganism
Description: bacterial SSU rRNA
Rfam family: Archaeal small subunit ribosomal RNA
Source: RNAcentral